GAUCACAGCGCCUGAGACCAGAGCAUCGCCCGCGCCGCGCCGCGCCUACUCCUCGCCUAUCUUUCGGAUAAUAGAUUUGACGAUUUUGUGAAGUGAUAGUGAUAUCUCAAAAUGCUGCACUAGAUUCAAAUUGAGCCAAAGAUUAAUUGAGAUUAUUUAACAUUGUUACCCAGAUUCAGUACUAGUAUGGAGUCGGAAACGAACACAACGGUGGGUGAUGGCGAAAAUCAACAGGAAUUACAAACCACUACCGAGGCUCUACAACUCGUAAAACAUGAAGAGAGAAACGAGAUAGAUCAGUCUGCAAACAGGACUACGAGUUCUCCGGCCGAUACCGCGGUCGACCAACAGCAUUCCCCGCAUCCGCAGUCGCAGUCAGUAAUAACAUCUCGCAGAGCCGUGCGCACUAUCACUGCCGCUGGACACAUCACCACAGAUGACGUUGACGUCAAUCCUGAAGAUGGCGUCAAAGACGAGCCCCCCGAACCACCGCCGGUAGAACAUGAACAGCAUUCCAUGCACCAAUAUACACCAAAACUGGAAGAAAACGAGGCACGGAAUGUUGCGCAGCAACACUACGACGAAGAAAGGCUACGUUUAGCCGAAGCAGAAACAGCUCGAUAUUUAGCUUUUAAACCGGAAUCUUAUAGAUCACUACCGUCCCCAGAUAAACGCAUGCAGGUACAAUAUGCUCGUGCUCCGCAACGCCCUGCAUAUGGUAGGGGACUAUCUUUGCGGUACGGUGCGUCGCAUCAUGUUAUAGUCGCUCAGGAAAAUAAUGCAGAAGAUCACGAUCCGGAUGCUUUCCUAGGACCCAAAGACAAGCCAGAACAAUUACAAUACGCCCAAAAUGAUGACAUCGGUGCCCCGGGCACAAGUGAUGGCAGGCAAUAUGGAGCAGUUUUGAGUGAUCAAGUGUCGGCGUCGUCAUCUCUCGAAAUGAUACAGACGACUUCUUUAAACAGUCAACAAGCAAUCGGUGUUGCGUACCAACAAGUUAAAUAUGAGACCAGAGGAGAACCUGAAUUACGACCGACGACAUAUGCGAGUCUGCAACCAGUAACAUCUGUACACGGAGGCUACGCAUAUGCGGGGCAGAGCCCUCAGUAUGGUGGUGCCGGAGGGUACGGAGCGUACGGUGGCGGAAGCAAGGAGCUGCUUACGCUUUACGGUACGGCCGGCGCAGCGACCUCCGGAGCGAGAGGAGACGAGUCCCCGCCCGGCCAACUCCUCUACCGAAGCGAUCCUACACUAUCUUCAUCGUCUCUGACCACGCGCGGAACGCAUGUCGUGUACGGAUCGGUGGUACCGCAAUCGCAAACAGUUUACGAAGCUCCAGCUAGUCCAAACUCACAACAGGUAACAUUAUAUACUCAUGGUAAUGCUGUACAAUACAAAGUCGCCGGCGAGCACUACCUGGGUCAGGGCGGAGGCGUUGAGUACGUGCCCGUGUCUGGCUAUGACGGCGGCCUGCUUGUGGAAGGCUACGCGGCGCCGUCGCAGCCGUGGCCCGCACACAACAUGCUACCUAUUGACGACGGUUUUGAUGCCAGCAUGGCUGGGAUGGGAGAAGUGAAGGAAUGCGUGAACUGCGCAGCGGCCACCACUCCUCUGUGGCGACGCGACGGCACGGGGCACUACCUGUGCAACGCCUGCGGCCUCUACACGCGCAUCAAUGGUGUUAAUAGACCACCCCUUAAAGGGCAGAAAGCUAAACCUCAACAAGCACUGCCAACAAACGGUAACCGGCGCGUGGGAGUAACGUGUGCAAACUGCCGCACGUCCAACACCACGCUGUGGCGGCGCAACAACAACGGCGAGCCCGUCUGCAACGCCUGCGGCCUCUACUACAAGCUGCAUAACGUGAACCGGCCACUGAGUAUGAAGAAGGACGGCAUCCAGACGCGCAAGCGCAAGCCGAAGAGCAUGGGCGGCGCCCACGGCGUGCCGCGGCCCGGCGGCGCGCUCCCUGGUACGUGGCGCUAGUACCGCGCCUGUCAGAGUGGAGGCACACUCGCACAAGGUGCUGCCUCCGCUGUACGCGGCGGUGGAGGGCGGCGCCGGCCCGGGGCUGCUGCUGCUGCCUCCGGCGCGACACCACCCCGACAUGAUAUCACCGCUAGACCGGACUGCCGUGACCGUGGC
RNAcentral lists this unclassified non-coding RNA (2145 nucleotides) under Leguminivora glycinivorella. Its description in RNAcentral is "transcription factor GATA-6-like, transcript variant X4". Lineage: Eukaryota; Metazoa; Arthropoda; Insecta; Lepidoptera; Tortricidae. The record is from RNAcentral.